RNAcentral lists this ribosomal RNA (513 nucleotides) under Actinomyces naeslundii. RNAcentral describes it as "bacterial SSU rRNA". It matches the Rfam family "Bacterial small subunit ribosomal RNA", at positions 30 to 516 of the family's 1533-position model. Lineage: Bacteria; Bacillati; Actinomycetota; Actinomycetes; Actinomycetales; Actinomycetaceae. The record is from RNAcentral.
CGAACGCUGGCGGCGUGCUUAACACAUGCAAGUCGAACGGUGAAGGGGCCUGCUUUUGUGGGUCCUGGAUGAGUGGCGAACGGGUGAGUAACACGUGAGUAACCUGCCCCCUUCUUCUGGAUAACCGCAUGAAAGUGUGGCUAAUACGGGAUAUUCUGGGUCUGUCGCAUGGUGGGCCUGGGAAAGAUUGCGCCUUUUUUGGUGUUUUUGGUGGGGGAUGGGCUCGCGGCCUAUCAGCUUGUUGGUGGGGUGAUGGCCUACCAAGGCGGUGACGGGUAGCCGGCCUGAGAGGGUGGACGGUCACACUGGGACUGAGACACGGCCCAGACUCCUACGGGAGGCAGCAGUGGGGAAUAUUGCACAAUGGGCGCAAGCCUGAUGCAGCGACGCCGCGUGAGGGAUGGAGGCCUUCGGGUUGUGAACCUCUUUCGCCAGUGAAGCAGGCCUGCCUCGUUUGUGGGUGGGUUGACGGUAGCUGGAUAAGAAGCGCCGGCUAACUACGUGCCAGCAGCC